ACUGCAGCGGAGGGAGUGGGAAAGUCUGCACAGAGACCCUGGGGGUCCUUUUGGAACUAAAGGAUCUAGAUUCCAGAGCCUUCUUUCUCAUCUAAGAGUCAGAGUUAUGGGUACCCUUUAGGUGAGUCUGGGAGGCUCUGCCCAGAACCCAGUGACAGGAAAGGGAACGAAGCCCCUGAAACAACAUCUCCAUGGAGCUGAAGGGGGAGAGGCCAGUGCAGCACCCGUCACCCAGCCCCUACCCUGCACCCACCAUGGUUUGAUGCAUCCUGGCCAGACCCCGGGGCUAUGUGGGAGCUCCCUUGGAUGAGGGAGCAACUGACAGGAGGAAUCAACUUCCCUUGAACUUGAAGAACCCCACAGUUGGUCAGGGGUCUGCCCUCACCCUGUGGUCAGGCCAACCACACUACUUCAGACAAUGGCCUCUGGGCGCCUCCAGCUCUCAGAGCAGCAGCCCCAGCACAGGCAAUCAUUCCAGUGACGGUUGUACUGUGCUCCAGCUCCCAGUGGUCUGUGUCCUGACUCUAGCAACAAAGCAGAAGCAGACAGGACUUAGUCUCUGUCUUCCUGUACACAUCAAGGGAGGGAAGCCGAAGGGCUUGGCUUCUAACUAUUUGGGCGACAAUGGGCCUGCAAAAGAGGCUUUACUUAUACCCCAGAUUCAUACACAGCUCAGUCAAUGCUCACACCAACUCCAUGGAAUAUGUAGUGCCAUUAUCAGCAUUGCAUUGGUAAGAAAACUGUGACCCAGAAAGGCCAAGCAGCCUGUCCUGGCUCACACAGCUGGUAAGCACAUCCUGACACCCAAGCUGCACUCUUCCACUACUCCUCCGUCACCACUAACGUGGGCCCACCAUCUAGCAACUCAAAAGGAACCAAGAAUGGAAAGCUUUUGACCUGAAUGUCUAAAUCAAUGGACUCGGCCCUGGGUGGAGAGAGCCAAUCCACACCUGGACAAACUACACAAGUUGGCAGGGAGGCAGGAGCUGACACUGCUGACAGUGGACUUCAGCAUCUGCAGACCCCAAGUCUUCACGAACCCCACCACCUGCCAUAGCACCCAAGAUGUGCAUCAGUCAACCUUUGACACUAGCACUCCCAUGGAUGAGUGACUAGGCAAAGACGCACCCACUGACAUAGCAGGGCAGAUGAAUUUGUGUACUGGAUUAUUGACCACAGAUCAAAACCUGAAGGUGAUGGGAAAGAAGAACAGUUGCUUGAAGUGAUAAAGGGAAGGUCAAAACCUAACGAGUUCAUGCUUAGGCAAGCGAGCUGCCCAAGAUGAUCAGGCACCAGAGGGCAGCUGGGGUCUGAGCAUGAAUGCUGCAAGAUUUGAUCCUGUCUGUUCCGGAAGUCAGAUGACCAGACCAUGGGUCACCAUGACUUGACUUGUGCCCUGCACCACUGUCAGAGCCUUCUGGAUCACUCAGUAAAUGAAACAACUAGUCAUUUCCAUCUGACAAUCAGCAGGACUCUGUUCUAUUUCCCCCACACUGAAAUGAUGAUUAUUUGACUAGACCGACCCCAUGCACUGAAUGUUCUGGAGUCCUGUGGAUAGGGCUUCACAGUCCGUCAGCAUCUGUUAACUGAACACUGAUUGGAUGCCAGCUCUCUAUCAACAAUACUCCUGAUCAUGAUGCCCUGAGGCCAUUAGACGUUCUGGACAUUGAUCCUCAUUAGCAAGGCCACCUAGUCCAAUUGUGGCAGAAACUGCCUGCCAUCGGACCCGCCUCUGAUUAUGACUCAGUGGCUCUCCACCAGAGCCCCAUGCUGCAGUCACCUGGGGCUGGAGUUAAAAAUACCGAUUCCGGGUCCCACCCACAAAGACUUUGAUAUAGUCUGCCUGGGGAACAGCCUGGCAUCGGGGAGUUUUUAAAUGUCCCCAAACGAUUUGAAUAUGUAGCCAAAGAUGAGAACCACUGGUUUCUGUUGAAAUUCACACUCCUGGCCCCAGGAGACAUUUGUUGCAAACUGGUCCACCAUCAUCUUCACUUGGUGGUUUGCUACCUCUGGGGUCGGGCACGGGGCUGGGUGGAAGAGUCAAUACAGAUGGGAGGAACAUCCGGAUCCCAGGACUCAGCACAUCCUGUGUUUGUCUUUCCAAAUCACCUUCCAUUUUGCUUUUGCUUCCUUGCUCUUCCCUCUUUCAAUAAACUACACUCACUGCCACUAUCAACUGACCUGUUGUCCUCCCUUUACGAUCAAAGUCCAAGCUGCAUAUGAUCUCAUUUAUUCUCAAAAUAGUCCUGCGUGUGAGGAAGGAGCCAGGCUUUUGUUCUCUAAGGCAAAGCUGGGACCUGCAGGUCAAGAAAGGUUCUAUCUGCCAUGGAAUUCAUCUCAUUAUUUGGUUUCAAUGUGUUCAUAGCAAGUUUCAAUUUACAAAGUGCUUUCGCCUAUUUGCUCUUGUGGAAUCCUCACAGCAAGUGCGUGUGGCAGUAUUUUCAUAGCCAGGGUGGCCACAUAUCCUGAUUUGCCCUGAACAAUCCCGGGUUACACCUGCUGCCCCAGUCUAACUAUUGGUGGCACCCCCUUUCACUCUCAAACCAAGUGUCUUGGUUUGGACAAUAAAUUAUAUGGUCACAUUAUUUAUAAUGACUCUCUUGUUCGAAGAGGGGGCUAUUGAGGCUCAUAUGUUCAGAGUCACUCAGUUAAUUAUAGGCAGAGACAAGACCUGGACUCAUGUCCCGUGUCUUCAAACCUCUGCCCCAUCCAUGGGUAUCAUGGAGCACUAGAAUCAGAGCUGAUCUACUCAACACUUUCUUAUAUAGAUGAAGAAACUAAAAAUGGGGGGAAAAGGUGUCUUAAAAGUCACUAUUCAAAUGUUCCCUGGAAGGGCGAGACUUGGAGCCCAGGGCAGAGAUGGGCUAGUAACGUAUCAAUAACUGUCAUGCUGGAUGGCACUUGAGAGCCCAACUUGGCAAAAGAAAGGGCAAGGCCUGACAUACGGGUGUUCGGAAAAGGAAGAGUAAGAAAUUUAGAGUCUAAACUGCUGGAUUUGAGGACUGGAUCUGAACGUCAUCUGCUGUCUCCCUCUGGGCACUUCACACCCCCCUCUAAGCACACACGCUCAAAUGUAAAACAGGACUAGUCAUUCUUACUUCCCUAGGUCACCAGGAGAGCAAACUGCAGCUCACCCAGUGCCCUGACAGCAUCAAGCCUCCCCAGGUCCCUGUGAGUCUCAUUUAUUUGCUUUCUUCAUUUUUCACAUGAGUGAACCAAGGCUCAUGAACAAGGAUGCUGGGGAUCCAAUGACGUAAGGUAUUUGAAGGUGCUCAUAAAUCCUAAAACGCUGCCAUUUAUUAUUAUUAUUAUCACCCGCAGCAGCAGUAGUAACAGAUAACAAUAGGCAAUUGAUGUGGGACAGAAGUGUAUGUCCUUGAAUCUCCCUGGAUGACCGAGGUUUUGAAUGACACGCCCAGUAGACAGGCAGGGUUGGGGAAGCGAGUGUUAAAGAUGACCACAUCACAACUCUCUGGGUGGAGCCCGGCCUGCCUGGGAGGUUUCCUAGUCACCAACCUGCCAGCCCUGCAGAAAGCACCUCACAUGCCUGACACCCUCAGCAAGAAGGCCUUUUUUCUUAUGAAAACCAUACAGCUAAGAGUAACUUCAAACUCUGGAAAUGCCUGGUUCUGUAAUUCAGGACAUCGCUUCCCUGAAAUGAAACCAUUCAAAGCCUGCCCAGCGCUUUAUUUCACAACUAUUUUCAGCCUUUACUUAUCCCUGUAAGUGAUAACUACUAACCAGAUGCUCAAAAAAGGGGGGAAAAAAAUAUCAAAAGAGCUUUCCUAUCUGAUUUUUUGUUCCCCCAUCAGUCUGGAUUUUGCACUCACCGCAAAGGCCUGCCUGGCUCUCACGGGUUGCUUUCCUUUAGGGAAAAAGCAAAUGACAACACAGGCAUUUUAGAACUCUUUGGGGGCACUGGGGCCUGUGCAGUGAGCUUUUUAGAUAAAUGGAGAAAACUUCCAAAGCUGACCGCAUGAAAUUCCAAAGGUGCCAGCAGGACCGCUCUCCAUGCCCAGCACUGGGGCCGAGAGCUCCUUCUUCUCUAAAGAGUCAAUUUGUGUUUCAAAUAUCUUUUAGGAACUUGACUCUGUGAAACUACUUGCUCCCAGGGAAUCUGAGAAAGUCCUAGAAUAGCUUUCUUCACGGAGAGCAGCAAGACUUGCCGCUUUGUUAGAGUUCUCUCUAUUCACUCCCGAGACGGCAGGCCUGGCUGCUGAGAUUCAGGGCACCCCUGGCCCUCGGUCCAGCACUGCCCAGCCUCGGAGGGGAUGUGGCCUUCUUCAUCACCUGGGUGGGCCAGAGGACCUGGAAAUCCUGCCCAGAGGGCUCCCAGCAACCAAAUGAGGACAACAGAAGCCACAUUUUAAGGGUGAGAAACAGGCUGAGGAAAGCUAGUGUCAGUAAAUGACUGGUGUAAUUUCUACAGAUAAUUUUGAAAAACGAAACCCAAAGAAUGCAAAACCCAGCGGAAGAAAUUUAACAAACCUUUGCAGUAGGCUAGGCCAAAUGGGACGGCCCACCUCCCAAGUGUAAAAUAAGUUACAACUAAUUUUAUAUUUUUUAGGCCCAAAAGGUACCAAAGACCAAAAGAUUGAUAUCAAGAUUUAUGUACAUCUAAUACUUUUUUUUUUUUGCAAAAACCUCUCUAUUUGUUUAAGUAACUUGUAGAUAAGAAUCAUUAAGCAAACUAACAUCUUCUCUAUUCCAGGGAAUAUAUAUGCCUCUUAAAUUCAGCCAGAAGGAACCCGGACCAGCGCUGAGGACUCUUUCCUUCUCAGUUACCUGCAUAUUUCUAGGGAAACUGCAUUCUAAGAUUUGUUUCCCCUUUGUGAAAGGUUUUGACGCUCAGGCGGCCUGCCCACUCCCCUCCCCCAACUCCUGGCGACUGUUUCUGCACCGCCCUCCGCCCUGGAAACAACUCUCCUGCCGCCUCAGGUUUCCCCGCUUCUGCGGCGUCGUCGGCACCGAGGACUGAUCAAAUGUUACUUUCUUAUUACACCAGCGAACCGGGAAACGCCGCCGCGGCCUGCAGCCUCCCUCCCACAGGAGAAAGGUUCACGGGCCCAGCCAGGUUCCUGCCAUCUCGCUACACCUGGAGAUGCUCUUGAGGACCGCCAAAAUCGCGCCGGGCCGGGCUCUGGCCCCAUGGUGGUGAUCGCCUGUCCUGCAACGGGUUUGACAAACUGCCGGGCCAACUGUCCAAGAAGACAGCCACCUGCCAGAUUGCACCUGACUCUAUUCGGCCCGGGAGCGCCGAAGCGAGGCUCUCUGGCCUGCAGAAAGGCCACCCAGGGGACCGCGAGGGCUUGCCCGCACUCCCAGGGGAGGUCCAGCAUCCCAGCGCGGUCCGCGCGCGGCACGUGAGCCAGGCGAGCCCGGCUGGAGGCGCAGCAGCGACGUAUGAUAGACAUACGGAAAAAAUGCGCAUGUCCUUAGCGUACAGUUCAACGAACGCUCACAGUCUGAACGCACGCGUGAGAAAGCAACAGCAGAGGAAGAAAUAAAAUGUUAGCUACACCCCGCCCCCCGAAGCUCCUCCUAGUCUCUCCUCUGUACCUGUCCUCCACCUUCACCCCUCUCCCCACCAGGGUAACCAUUAUCCUGACUUGUAGCAGAGCAGGUUGGUUUUGCCUGGAAUCUUACAGUAAAUGCAGUGUGUACUCCUUGAUGCCUGGCUUCUUUUGCUCACCAUUAUAUGUGUGAGAUUCAUCCAUUCUGCUCCGUGUGAUCGUAAAUCAUCCAUUCUUAUUGCCACAAUUUACUUAUCCAUUCUUCUGUUGAUGGACGUUUGCACAGUUCCCGGUUAAUGACUUGCACGGAUACUGCUGCUAUGAACAGGCUAUCAAACAUCCUGUCGUGAGCACAUGGACACUUUUCUGUUGGGUACACACUUAGGAGUGCAAUUGCUAGCUUAUAGAGUAUGAGAAUAUUCUUCUUGAAUAAACACUGCCGGAUGAUUUUCUAAAGCGUUUGUACCAAUUUACAUUCUCAGCCUUCAUUUCUUUUAAAAGUAGGUACUAAGUCUUUCCCAUCUGGAAUCUGGUCAGCUUCUGUUUGUUUUCUUUGCCUUCUCUUUAGUUAAUCUUUUUUGUGCCCUGUCUUACCUUACUUACAAAUAUAUAUUUGCUUCACAGUUUUAUAGGAAAAACAAAAUACAAAUAAGUAAUAGUACUUAUUACAUGCCAGGCAA
Molecule: long non-coding RNA, 6193 nt
Organism: Equus caballus (horse)
Lineage: Eukaryota; Metazoa; Chordata; Mammalia; Perissodactyla; Equidae
Source: RefSeq, a predicted model, not a curated record